UACGGAGGGUGCAAGCGUUGCUCGGAAUUAUUGGGCGUAAAGGGUAGGUAGGUGGUCUCAUUUGUCUGGGGUGAAAUCCUUGAGCUUAACUCAAGAAGUGCCUCAGAAACGGUGAGACUAGAGUUCUGGAGAGGGUCGUGGAAUUCCCGGUGUAGUGGUGGAAUGCGUAGAUAUCGGGAGGAACACCAGUGGCGAAGGCGGUUGCCUGGAGCUUUGCUGACGCUGAGGCGCGAAAGCGUGGGGAGCGAUCAGG
This 253-nucleotide ribosomal RNA is filed under the name uncultured bacterium. RNAcentral's name for it is "partial 16S ribosomal RNA". It matches the Rfam family "Bacterial small subunit ribosomal RNA", at positions 524 to 776 of the family's 1533-position model. The record is from RNAcentral.